UGCAAUUUUGAUUGGAUUAAAACAUGGAAUCCAGUUGAUCACCCAAGCAUAAGGAAAAGAAUCCUAAAAUGGGUUUUUGGAAAAAUUGAAAUCAGAGAUUCACCAGCUAAAAAUAAGUAAAACUAACUGAAUUUCUAGAGUUUAAAAAGGUAUACAGAAAAUUAAACAAUAUUUUUGUGAAUUCAAAUUCCUCAUGUUUGAAGUAACCUUGGAUUCAAGCAUGGCUUAAACUAAAAUUCCUUCAAUGCAAAAGAAAAGAAGAAGAAGAAGAAGAAGAAACUUUCUCUACAUUCUUCAUUUCAUUUUUCUGAUAUUUAGUUGUAGUAAACUGAAAUUCCUGCAGAUUUGUAGACUUGAUGCAAGGAUCAGGCAGAACCUUGCUGCCAUGCAGCAGUUGGAACAUGAGCUUAGGGCCAUGUCUUCCUUUGAUUAUAGGCAAGUUUUUAUCAACUCAAUUUUUCACUUUUUCAUUGGUUUGUCUGGAGAUUCAGUUUUUGAACCUUGUUUCUUUAUCUAUGCAGAGAAAUAAGGCGUGGGUUUUCAUUUAUCCCAACAAUAUAUGAGGAUUUUAAUCAAUUGUGCCUGAAUUUAGGCCUACAAGCACUUCAGCUUUUUUACGCCACUCGUGCUACGAGUAGACCAUAUAGAGGAUUUGUUUUUAUUUAUUUAUUGAAGACCAUUUUUAAUUUAUUGUAAUAAAUAUUAUAUUUUUUUAUUAUGAAGUAAUAUAAAAUUUAUUUAAUAUUCAGUUUUAA
Molecule: long non-coding RNA, 755 nt
Organism: Magnolia sinica
Lineage: Eukaryota; Viridiplantae; Streptophyta; Magnoliopsida; Magnoliales; Magnoliaceae
Exons: 2
Source: RefSeq, a predicted model, not a curated record